AGUUCAAAAGAGGAGGCUGCCAAAUGAUUUCUUUAAGGAAAGGAACUUUAGGGUGAUGUAUGGAGAUUCUAAACAUCUUCAAGAAAGUGAAAUCUCUUAUGGAAUUUGAAGAUGGCUUACAAGUGUUAUUACUAGUUAGAGAAGUGCUAGCAAUGAUUAAGGAUAUGGCAGAUUUCCAAGAAAUAAACUUAUUAUUGAAUCUAGCUUGAUUUCCGACAAGCCAUAUAGUAUUGAGCAAGUUGAUGAUGGCAGCAGUAAUGGUAAUCUUGCACUUAGGGGACCAAUUCAGCUCACAAAGCUUCCACAUAUCUUCCAUUGACGUAAACUGUAAAACUAAAUUUAAACAACCAGCAAGCCAAGACCAUAGCUUGAGCUGCAAGUCACCGGUGUUUGUGUGUUUCCACAACAACCUGUCUUGAGUGGGAUCCAAAGGUAUUGUAACUUUGGAGAUAAUAGAGCUAAAGUUCUAAAUAUGCUAAAGUUCUUUUUGAGGUGGCCUAUUAAAAUUCCUUCAAACUUUGGUCCUAUAAAUUUUCAGUUUUCAAUUUUAGUCUCACAUUUUCACAAAAGUCCGCGUAUCGGUAUCACGUUCUAAAUGAGUUUUUUUUUCAAAAAAAAACAUAUCGUUAUUAAGAACUUAAAAUACAAUUAGUUUAAUAAUUUAACUAUUU
Molecule: long non-coding RNA, 671 nt
Filed under: Trifolium pratense (red clover)
Lineage: Eukaryota; Viridiplantae; Streptophyta; Magnoliopsida; Fabales; Fabaceae
Description: long non-coding RNA (TPRA_LNC000605)
Source: RNAcentral